Molecule: unclassified non-coding RNA, 771 nt
Filed under: Hevea brasiliensis (rubber tree)
Lineage: Eukaryota; Viridiplantae; Streptophyta; Magnoliopsida; Malpighiales; Euphorbiaceae
Source: RNAcentral
GAAAUUGACUGGCUGAUACCAUUCAGAGUUGACAAAAAGGAAACUAAUAACAGUAGCUUCUAUAAUGAAGCUAUUAACAGUAGCACAAGCACAUAAAGAAACACUUAUUUAGCUAAUAAUGCAGUAAUUUCAGCAUCAAUCAAUUACAGUGAAGCUAGCUAGUCUGUGUCUUUAUCCAUAGAUCCGCACGCCAAGAAAUUUACUCCUGAUCAAAUGUAGAUCUUUAGCAACAUCUCCCAUUUCCAUUCUUUCUUUGGUUGAUUCUGCUGAGCAAGCUACACCAAUUUUCAAUAUUGAAAGCAAGUAUUCUUUUUGGCUCAUUUCUGCUCCUUGUAUUUCUUCCUUUUUAUAUUCGCUUUCUGGUAAUGCUGAUGAUGUUGCUGAUUUUUCUUCCAUUUCUCUUGGGAGAAUGUUUUUGUCCACGGUCUCUGUAAGUCUUUCCGGCAAUGCAUUCUUCACAAAGUUGUGGAGAUUCAGACCAUCCACGAACAUUUCUUCGGUAGGUCUUUUUCCUGAGAACAUCUCUAAUAAAAGGAUCCCAUAGCUAUACACAUCCCCCUCUUUUGAGGCUGGACUACCCAUUGCAUAUUCUGGAGGAGCAUAGCCAACAGUCCCCCUUAUUCCAAUUGAGCUAGUUUGACUUUGAGAUGCAUCAUUAGUGUUCAAAAAGAGCUUAGCCAAACCGAAAUCGCUUAAAUGUGCAACCAUGUCAUCAUCGAGGAGAACAUUGCUGGGCUUCAAGUCACAAUGAAUGAUUGGAAUUUCGCAAAG